Zalophus californianus (California sea lion) is the source of this 511-nucleotide long non-coding RNA. RefSeq lists it as uncharacterized. The transcript has 3 exons. The record is from RefSeq and is a predicted model, not a curated record. NCBI's taxonomy places the organism in Eukaryota, Metazoa, Chordata, Mammalia, Carnivora, Otariidae.
CAGGGAGCAAGUGGCAAGGAAAGCAGGCCAGUUCAACAUCAGCAAGCAGCCAGAUGGGAUCCAAUAUGCUGCACUUCCUUAUUACGUGUCCUUGGUCUCCUCCAAACUGGCAUCUCAGACUUUCCUGUCUCCUGUGACUGACAUUUUGAAGAGUAGGUCAAGAUAAGUUUAAAAGCAGCAAGAGAAAAAAAAAAUCCUCACAAAUAAGGCUAUAAUGGAUUUUUCAGCUUAAAUUCUUCAAGCCACAAGAGAAUGGAUGAUAUAUUCAAAGUUCUGGAGGAAAAAACCUGCCAAGCAAGAAUACUUUACCCAGCACAGGUAUCCCUCAGAAAAUAAGGUGAGAGAAAGACUCCCAGACAGAAGCUGAGGAAGUUGAUCACCAGUAGACCUGCCUACAAGAAAUGCUGAAAGGAGUAUUUCAGGCAGAAGUGAAAGGACAUUAACCAGUGACAUAAAACCAUACUUAACGACUAAUAGCCCACUUUUGACUGAAAGCCUUAUUGAUAACAUA